GACGAACGCUGGCGGCGUGCUUAACACAUGCAAGUCGAACGGAAAGGCCCUGCUUUUGUGGGGUGCUCGAGUGGCGAACGGGUGAGUAACACGUGAGUAACCUGCCCUUGACUUUGGGAUAACUUCAGGAAACUGGGGCUAAUACCGGAUAGGAGCUCCUGCUGCAUGGUGGGGGUUGGAAAGUUUCGGCGGUUGGGGAUGGACUCGCGGCUUAUCAGCUUGUUGGUGGGGUAGUGGCUUACCAAGGCUUUGACGGGUAGCCGGCCUGAGAGGGUGACCGGGAACUGUGGGACAGAGCAGCGGGCCGGACGGUGGGAGGAGGCAGGAGGGGGGAAUGUAGAAUGCGGGGGCGACGCUGGAUGUAGAAACGCGGUUGGGGGGACGCGGUCCUUGGGUUGAUAAGCCGCUGUCCGAUGAGAAGAAGGGUGAGGGAGGAUAAGGGGAAAAGAAGCACCGGCAAACGACGUGACAGCAUCCGGAGUAAUAGAUGAAAGACCACGCAACUAAC
RNAcentral lists this ribosomal RNA (508 nucleotides) under uncultured bacterium. RNAcentral describes it as "partial 16S ribosomal RNA". It matches the Rfam family "Bacterial small subunit ribosomal RNA", at positions 36 to 538 of the family's 1533-position model. The record is from RNAcentral.